This 249-nucleotide small nuclear RNA is filed under the name Mus pahari (shrew mouse). RNAcentral describes it as "sRNA (MGP_PahariEiJ_G0008133.1)". It matches the Rfam family "7SK RNA". From Rfam's summary of the family: 7SK was discovered as an abundant small nuclear RNA in the mid-70s but a possible function has only recently been suggested. Two independent studies have found that 7SK RNA binds the CDK9/cyclin T complex (known as elongation factor P-TEFb). The record is from RNAcentral. Lineage: Eukaryota; Metazoa; Chordata; Mammalia; Rodentia; Muridae.
GGAUGUGAGGGCCAUCUGGAGUCACUCCAUUGAGCUGAGCUGGCUGACUAGGCAGAUGUUCCCUCCUCCCUCACUACUCCAGUGUUCGUCCCUCCUCCUUCUGUCAAGGAUAUAGAAUAGCUGCACUCCCCUGCUAGAACUUCCAAACAGGCUCUCAAGAAUUUAUUUUCAGUUCCAGGACAACCAGAGCUAUACAGAGAAAUGCUGACACAAAAAGAAGAAUGAUUUUUUUUUUUUUUUAUUAACUUU